UCGUCACUAGCUGUUUGUCGGAGGGGAGAGAAACGAUUGUGAAAUUUCGAUUAAUUAAAUUUACAUGAAUAAUUUAAUAAAAUUGUAAUAAAUAGGACUUUUUAUGAUGUUAUGGAAAUGAAAAAACCAAAAAAAUAGAUAUGCGACACCAUUUAUACCACAGGCGCGUGGUACCGAAUCGAUUUUUCGUUUAACUGGAAUCAGACUAUUCAGAGUUCAGACUCGUGUAUAGAAUCCGUCACGAAGUUGGAUGAACUUGAAGUCUGCUCCACUCUCACUAUUACAUCGGAACAGGACGGGCUUUUGAUAUCGUUCAUCGCGGUCAUUGCACUGGUACACUGGGCAGGCAUAUGAUUGUAUGUCCACUGCCGUCACCACAUUCACACUCGGGACGUUUGUAUUAGUCGUAUUGCAUUCUACCGUCAGUACUUCAUCCACAGCACUGCAGGACAGUGUCAGAGAAAUGUCGUAGCGUUGGCCGUUUUUAUACAGAGUAUCACGUGAUAGUAUAAACUUACCGACGGCCGAGUGAUUGUUUUGGUACGGUAUGUUGUCCACCGAAGGCGGUCGUACUGGUAUUGGCCGACGGAGUUGGCUGUCUUUCCGUACGUUUACCACCGGCGGCAAUGGUGCAAGGGGCUUGCGUUCGGUUUCUGGCGUCGUGGCCGCGCUCGAACUUGUGCUAAUGACCGUUGACGGGACCGGAGUCUGCAAGUCUGAUCGUGGUGAACCCUGUGGAAAUGGAAACAUAUUUUUAUCAUAGUUAAUUAAGUAAUAGAGAUACGUUAAUAAAAUAUGACUAAUAUUAUGUGAUCAUUUAGCUGAUUCGUUUGUUCAAAUUUUUCAUAAUAUACAUCGAAUUUGUGCUCAAAAAUAUUGUAAUAGGUAUAGGUGUGGAAUUUGAAAUUAAGUACGCACCUUUUGGUUGUCGUCGUAGCUCAGAAGCUGUAGGCUUGGAGGAAGUUGCGCGUGGAACGUGAUUUUGUUGACCCACUCUUCCAUUUCCUUGGACGUGUCGGCCAAGAAGAGGAACUCUGAACCGUCCGUGCAGCAUAGCCUAAAACAGUAACAAAACAUAAAGUAAUCGCCUGAUAUUUUCGUCAUUACGUGGUUCUUUAGGUAUGUAUUGCAAAUAUGCAUACAUAAAUAGGUAUUAUGUAUUUAUAAACGAUUACCUAACUACAGAAACCUAAACUAUAUACAAGCAUUGGUUUACGCCAUAAUAAAAGUAGAAACAAUGAAUACAUAGAGAUUAAUUUUAAACGGUUAUUAAAUGAGAAUAUUUUAUACAUAUCAGUAUAUUACUAUAAAGUAUAAUAUAAUAGUAGGUGUACUAUCUGUAUUCAAUUAUAUUACGUAAUGAUUAAACUAAUUUAAACUUAUUCAGUUAGUGGUUAUUUUCUAUUACUUGUUUAAAAAAUAUUUUUGUACGACUGCAUGAUAUUGACCUGUUUAUAUUUUAUUUCAUUUAUUGAUAUUUGUAUAACAAUAUAAAUAUAUACAUAAUAUAUAUAUUGUUAUUAAAUUUACGGCAUUUACAAUUAUUUAUCAUGGUAUUUACCUGAAUACAUGUUUUCGUUUCGUAUAGUCAAACGCCUUUUCGCAUUUCGCUUUGAACACAAUGAUAGGCGAUGUCGCUGCUUUACUGGACACGAAAUCCUCCUGAUCCUUGAAGAAGCACAAUAGCUGACCGCAUAACACUAGACAACGAAACAAUAAUUAUUAUUAUUAGUUUUAUUCUGAAUUGUUUAGUAUAGAGGUGGUCAACCCGCAUAUUAGCGUCAGAUAAAAUAACACAUUUACUGUAUUAUUGUAAAAUAAAUACGUAAGUGCUAAUUUUUUUAUGGAAAAUUCUUAAUUUUUUCUAUUUGGCAUAAUAUAGAAAAAGGUUAGUUAUUCCGGGUCUACAAUAAUAUUUUUUCUCUGUAUGUUUUUUAGAUUCUUAUUAUUGUAGUAUAUACCAUGGUAAUAAUGGCGGCUUACAGAAAUGUGUUAUAUUUUUACUAUUCUAGGAUUAAAUAUUUUGGUUAUAGUAACAUGGAAGACGUAUACAUGUCAAAUUGUUGUACGAACAUGUUGAAUGAGACUUCUUCCGGUCUGAUAGAACUCGCUCAAAACUUCAGAUCGGCUGU
Molecule: long non-coding RNA, 2132 nt
Organism: Rhopalosiphum padi (bird cherry-oat aphid)
Lineage: Eukaryota; Metazoa; Arthropoda; Insecta; Hemiptera; Aphididae
Exons: 3
Source: RefSeq, a predicted model, not a curated record